Long non-coding RNA from Gorilla gorilla gorilla (western lowland gorilla), 4995 nucleotides. RefSeq lists it as uncharacterized. Lineage: Eukaryota; Metazoa; Chordata; Mammalia; Primates; Hominidae. The record is from RefSeq and is a predicted model, not a curated record. The transcript has 5 exons.
AGGGACUGACGGCGGCCGGCCGGUAGGAGCGCGGAGCUGCGCUGCGGCGGCCCAGGAGCUGCUGCGGUUCCCGCUGCUCGGGGAGCAGGCGGUGUGUGCGCGGCUGCGAAGGCGAGGUUGAAACUGCACCGCCAAGGCGCGCUCCUGCUGUGUCUGGAGCUCCGGCGUCUCCUCUGCCUCCCAGCUCAGCGCCUCCCACCCUCCUUCCCUCCUCCUCUUCCCAGCUCCCCCGCCCUCUGCUGCUCGCAGCCUCGCCAGAGUGAGAAUCUACUGUAAGUGUGAGUUGCUUCGACGAAGUCACACACCCACGGAGGGAAGUAAUCUGGAGGCUGCCUUGCAAGUCUCAAGGUGACAAUAGUCCUCAGGCAGACAAGAGGGAAUAAGAGUUUGAGAUGAAUGGCUACAGCUGAGAAUAUGCUGAGUUUCGCUCUUGUUGCCCAGGCUGGAGUGCAAUGACGCGAUCUCGGCUCACAGCAACCUCCGCCUCCUGGGUUCAAGCAAUUCUCCUGCCUCAGCCUCCCGAGUAGCUGGGAUUACAGGCAUGCGCCAACAAGCCUGGCUAAUUUUGUAUUUUUAGUAGAGACGGGGUUUCUCCAUGUUGAUCGGGCUGGUCUUGAACUCCGGACUUCAGGAAAUAAGAAGAUAAAAGAACAAGGCCAACAUCACAAUGAGGAAACAAUCACACAUAUUCAGAAUGUUGGACAUUCUCCAAGAUAACCAGGGUGGAAUAAUCAAUGUCUUUUGAAAAAAUGAGCAGACUAUUUCACAUCAGAAAAAGACUAUGAAAGAAUAAAGGAAUAUCAUAGCUGUGGUGCUGAGAACGUAACCUACUCCCAUUGGUUUCCAACAACUGAGACCUUGAACAGUGACUUCGUAGCUGUAAAUCCCAGAAUCUUCUGUUUCAAAUCAAUUCUUCAGGAAAAAGAGGACAAAAUAUAAACCCAAGUGGAGAGAGUGCUAAAAGACACAAGAUUUUUUUUUAGAGAAUUUAUCAAUCUAAUAUGAGCAGUUAAUUAUUUAUGAUGGUUCCUAUGUUUCACAGAGAAGUUAAAGAAAUAAGAUUAGAACCAUCUUAUGGGCUCUGGGUAAGGCUCUGCAAUCUGUCACCAUUUUUGCUUUAUUUAUUAUACCAAGGAGCAUGAAAAAUGUUUGCAAUUUGACUUGAACAUUUUCAUUGUCUUUGCUUUGCUUUUGUUUCUUUCUUUUUAAAAUCCGUGGUUUUUGAAUUUCCUUUUGAAUAUUUGCAUCCUUUUAUGGAAUAUAAGAGACCACUUAUAUGCACAAGAGUUAUCUCUUGUGGGUCUCACUAUUAUUAUCAUCAAAAUGCCUGAAAUUACCUGUGAGGGAACAUUAUAAAGUAAAUGAUAAAGAAAUAAUUUAAUGUUACACAUUAGGUAACCUCUAGGAAUAUAUGCUGGAACCAUAGGAAGACAUUGGGCAUGAAGAACAAUAAAAAUAUUUGGAUUGGAAGUAAAAAUGCUAAUCUACUUGUCAGAAAGGUCAUGUCUACAGUCAACAACUGUUCAAAUAGAAGCUUUAAAGCGAGGCUCAGCACACUUUUCUCUAAAGAGCCAGACAACAAAUAUCUCCGGCUUUGUAGUCCAUAUGGUCGACACUGCAACUACUCGAGUCUGCCAUUGUAGCACGCAAACAGCCAUAGACCAUAUGUGAAUGAAUGGUGUGGCUGUGUUCCAAAAGCCUUAUUUACAAAAACAAGGCAAGUAUUAGACUUCUUCAGAUCUUGGUGUGCUAGUCCUUGCUUUACACAAUUAAGAUGAGUGUGAACUAUAUUUCAAAUAGAAGUGAGAGCCCCAAAGGUGGGCAAACCAUUGUAGUAAGAUAGUCAAAUUGCCUAGGCAGGGACAAUUUAGACAUCUAGACAUUAUAAUUUUGAGUGAGCUAUCAAUUUAUUCAGGCAGGUUUUCUAAGUCUUAGAUUAAAAGGGUAGGUUGGAAUUUAGGGUUAGAUUCUACCCCACUGAGACAAAAUGAUCCAAAUAAAAAGUUCAUAACAAGGAUAGAUAAAGACCGUGGACUUACUAGAACAUACUAAGUACAGCUGCUCAUAGCAACAAGGUUUAUUUCAGAUCUUACCUGUUGGUAGCACCAUAUAUUACUCUAACAUGCUUGCUCAAUUUGCUGUCCCAUGGAAAAAAUAAUUGGUUGAGAACUAGUCAGAAGAGUCUUUGUAACUACUUUAAGGACAAAAGUAAUGUUGCUGUUGUGUCCUCAGAAUAUAUAUAUACAAUAGUGCCUGGAACACAAUAGACAUUUAAUGAUCAUUCCUUGUGUACCUAGAACUUGAUACCUAUUAAAUAUUUUUCUAGUAGAAGUUUGUAAAUUAAUACUACAGGAUUUUUAGCAUUUAUUCUUUUAUAAUAUUAUAUAUAAAAUUUUACUGAUAGACACUGUCUUCCAGUUCUUUAUACUAUCCUUUGCCACUUUAAUUCAAAAGCAUAUUAAAUUAUAUUUUAUAUUAAAAAUUUAAUUCUAAGAGUAAGAAUUACAGUUAUAAAAAUAUCCCAGGUGAUCAAAGAUAUGGAGCUAUUGCCUAAUGACUGACAUUAUAGUAUAGUGGUGAAUACAGAAAUUUAAUUUUUCAUCUCCUCCUGUCACUCCCUCUUAAGACAUUUUAGGGUCACCCUCCAUGAGGUAGCAGAUUCAUUAGCUUCUACUUUAAAUCCUGCCUCAGAGUAGAAAUCAGUCAGCUCUGUUGAGGGAAUUCCUGAGUAGAAAAAAAUGUCUUUCUAGGACAUUAGAGAGCAAUUGAGUAUUUAAAGAGUCAUUCAAAGAAGAACCUUCAGUAAGCAUUAGAGUAAGCAACUUUACCUAUAUUUUUUAAAAAGAAAAGCUGAGUCAACUCAGGCAAAAGAAAUUGAAUAUGUCAUUUUAAAGAGUCUCAAUAUAACAGAAUUGAAACGUGUCACUAAUCCACCUUGCCAGCUUAUACAGCUUUUGAGAGUGAAAGACUCUUAGUAAUGACAUUAAUUAUUAUUAAAUGUUAGUAGCUCAGUGUUGUAGAGAAUAUAAACAGCAGUAUUUAUAGACUCUUGGUAAAAUGUAUUUUAACUUUUUAAAGACAUUGCAGAGUUGGCUAUCUUCUCUAACACAACAUAUUGUAGAAUUCUCAUUUAAUAUUUUGUAGAACUAGCUAGAGCAACUAUUCUUUCUUAAGUGGCACAUGUUCAUUUUCUGUAUUUUCCUCAUCUUUACCACCUGCUAGCAGUGUUUCAGGCAACAAAACAGCAGUGUUCUCACCAGACAGUAUAGCCUCCUCCAAAAUGGUAGCAAUCCCAAAGAUUCACAAUAAAACAAAACCUUUAAGACUAUGAUAAAUGGUUUUUAUUUCUUUUUUAAAAACAGUUCUUCCUUUAUUCUUUAAUCUUUAAACACUGAGUUGAAAUGGAUGAUUGAAAAUCUUAUUUGGGGUAUAUUGUUGUACAUAUAAGAGUGUAAAUUUUAAGAGCUGAAUUAAAUUUCUCAGUCUACCUUUUCUUUCAGUUUAUUUUUAAUGAUAUAUAUUUGUAGAAGCAGUUAUCUGCCAUCUGGAAAUUAAUUCUCAUUUUCUUGGAUUAUUUUAUGGUGACUGCUUUCUAAGUAUUUUAUCCUUUAGUGAACAAAUGGUCUUUCUUUCCAGUUAGAAGGUGAUCCUCAAUAAUUAUGUUCUUUUCUUUAACCAAAACCUUGUUUCAAUUAUGACAUUUUGUUGAUAUGUAAAAAUUCUGAAGAAAUAAAAGCAAAAAAUAUUGAAUAAUAAUUUUGUUUAAACAACAUAUUUAGAAUAUUGAAUGACCCUGUUUAAACAAUAUAUUUAGAAUGACUUAUUGGUAGAAAAUGUCUUCAUGAAUUUUUCAAUGGUUGAUUUUUAUAUGUAUUGUACAUUUUGUAUCUUAAAGGAACAUUAAACUUUAAAUACAAUUAAGAGAGAGGAAAAGGAAAUGUUUUAAUCAAAAUAUAAAAUCAUUUAUUUUAAAUUGCUUCCUAUAGUAGUAAGAAAAUCAAUAAAAUUAAUGAUUAAACAGUUCAGAAGAACUAAACAUUAUUAAUAUCCAUUUAUAAGAAGGAAAUGUGAUGACAGAUUAGGCUGAGUAGGAUGUUAUUCACUUACAAUUUUAAAAAUAAAACUGUGUAGGUGGGCUUUGUUAUUUUACACCAAUUGCACUAAAAUGAAGUAGAGACUUGAAUGGCUAACAAUGUAAAAAAUUACGUGAUAGUGCUUUUGUAUUUUUGAAAUGAGAAAUAGUCAGAAAAAAUAUUUACAAGAGCAACCUUUAGAGUGUCCCAAUAUACAUUUAUGAGUUAUCACGCUAAUUUGCAAAAUGUAAGAAAAAAUUACAAAAUAGACGACAUAGUUUACCUGAUAAAUGUUCAAUUUAAUUGAAUAAAUUCAUUUAAGCACUUCUGAAAGAUAUUGUGUUAAGUUUUGAGUAUAUAAAAGUAAAUUUUAAAAUGCCUGACUUCAAGGAAUUCACAAUAUGUUAUGAAGAUAGACAAGUUAAACCAACUAUUUCAAUAAAGUGUGAUCAAUUUCCUAAAUAAAAGAAUAAAAUAUCUUAAAAAUCCAGAAAAGUGGUGGCCCAAAGUCAGCUUAUGGUAGUAGUGAAAAAGUUUGGGAAAAUUUUCUAAAGAAAAUCAACUGAAUAAAGUAUUAAAGAGUAAAUGACAUUAAUUCAAGCAAACAGGUUAGGCAGAAAUAUUCUAGUCCAUACCAAAAAAUGUUUCCCAACUAAAUGCAGGCAUAUAUAGAUCUACAAAAUCAUACAUGUAGCAUGUAGGUUUUUUUAAAAAAAGACAGAUGGUUAGCACCACCAAUAUUAACCUGUGGUGUAUGUCUUUCACAAGAUUUUUGAAAUGAGGAGCACUCAACAGAUGUGGGAGAUAAGGAAAUAAUUGUGAGAUAUUACUGACAAAUGAGGAUUGUUACUUAUUUUUUUAAUCUACUCUGUUAACUUCCCAAAAUUAUGUAAUAUAUUUUACAUAGAAAUAAAUACUUUAA